Molecule: long non-coding RNA, 3863 nt
Organism: Pezoporus flaviventris
Lineage: Eukaryota; Metazoa; Chordata; Aves; Psittaciformes; Psittacidae
Exons: 3
Source: RefSeq, a predicted model, not a curated record
GCACUCCAGGUAUGUGACUCCUUUACCAAUAUGGAGCAGCAGCUGGAGUCCAGAUGGGAGAACUGAGCACUUCCAAUAGUGCUGGACUCCUACAACUAGAUCAAGCCUCUGAACGCUGGUAGUUUAAUCUGAGGCUUUCCAUUUUAAAGCAACUCUGAAAUUCUAGGCAGAAGUAUUUCUUCAAAUGUUACCAUAAACGUGAAAAAGGAAGGCACAAGACUAUAUUUAGGAAAGAAACAAUGCUUAAAAACAGCACUAUGCAACAUCUUGAAGGUUAUCUGAAGUAGGGCAUAGAGCAGUGCUAGCACACUGACUACAGAAGGCGCUGCAGAAGACAAGGCCCUUCUCAUGAAGCUUUACUUCCUGCCUGCAGGAACUACUGAGGUGAUAAACCUGUUCAUUGCAAGCACACAGGCAGCAUAAAACUAGCAUUCAGAGUGGGCAACAGAAUCAGCUGAAGGAGUAACCGGACAGAAUUUCUGGAAGUAAAACAAAAUCAGAUGAGCAAAAAGAAAGCUGGGGCAGGCUGAGGCCUGGAAUGGACAGGAUAUAUAUUUAUGAUAGACAUCUGGCAAACGGAUAAUAGUGAUAUCUUAUCAAGAAGUCAAAAAUAAACUUAAAUUCUGGUAAAAAAAAAAGGCACUUGGGCUAAGAUGCUCAAAUGUGCUGUCCAGGAAAGCAAGGAAGGUGUCAGAGAGCUGGGCUUUGUGCAAAGAGAAAGAUGAGAAAGAGCUACUAUUUUUGGAAGAAUGCUUCAGUCCUUACCUGCAGAGUUGUGUCAGGCAGUAUGAGGAUGACGGAAAACAAGAUGAGUACAGUCUUCUGUUGCUUUAAUAACAAAUAUAAAAAAAAACAAACAUAUAAACUAAAAACCUGAGUGCUGCUCAUGUCCAACACCCAAGAGACAAAGCAGCAGGCUUACCACAGCUUGAAGAGCUCACUCUCCACUAAAAAGGUUUAUAAAAGCAAAGGUAAUGUAACAAACAGCAGAAAUAACAAUGGAUUUUUCUUUCUCCAGUACUAAGUGCAAUAGCUAAACAACUCAGAAAGACAACUCGUAUUGGUAACUCUGUUCUUAUACCAGCUAACCUAAGCACUUAUCCAUGCCAUGGGUAACACUCCUAUUGCUCUAGAAGAAGACAUCACGUGAGGACUACAGGAACUAAGAACUGCCUGACUUCUGCAUCUGUCAUCCUCACAAGCUGCCUGAUUUUAAAACAUUAGCAAAAAUGGCAAGGUAACAGCUUGUGUUUGUUCUGUCAUCCCCCCACUUCAGGACCCCUGACGCACUGAGAGACAGACUGUGGGUCAGGUUCUGCUCUGCCCCAUUCUUUCUGUAGUUAUUUACACCUGUACAAACUGAGUGGAAAACAUGCAAAAUGGUACCAUUUUGUUUUGAUAGUGUUUUACCCUCACUUCACAGGGGUGAGAAUGAAUAGACAGGGUGCAAGGCAGUGGAGAAUCAGGGAUUCUGUGUAUUAAAAAACAGUGCAGACAGCCACAGAAAGUGUCAAACCCCAUACAAAAGGACUGUUCGUGCGUUCAUGCUCAGCAUCUGUGAUCUGGACAGUAUAAACAGAAGUCAGUAUCUUUGUGCUAUGGGGGGCUUAUAGGGUUUUGUUUAUAUAAUUUAAAAAUCAGCAGACCUGCAAGGCUGAAUGUUGCAGGGUGCUUUGCAAACAGCAAUCUUGCCCGUUCACAGCAUUUCAGAAGCCUCUGGAGCAUAAGCUGAGGAAUUCCCUCAUUGUUGGUAGAUGGUGAAGCCUAUUGUCAGAUGCCUGACACUGGCUCUCUGCCACAUGAUGCUGGAGCCUACAGUUUUAAUUAAAAACCCUAAAACAAUGUGAAGAAUUGCUUGUCUGAAGCUCUGAUUAGCUAGGAUGCCUGCCCUUUCCAUAUGCAGUUAGGCAAGUAAUAGCAACUAUAAAGGAAGUCCUCCUACCCUGAAGGGUUAAGAUCUGCAGCUCCAUAUGCAAGAAAGCCACCCCCCAAAAAACAGACCUUUGAUGCUUGAAGCCAAGAUACGCUAACAUAUUCUGAAAGGGUGGACUCUGCAUCAGUCCCCUAGCGAGGCAACGGAGCUAAAUUCACAGAUGUGCAAGAGUCAUGAAGAAUGAAAGAAGCAUGGUGGCUAAAAGCAAUCUGGUAGAGCUGUGACGGAAGGAGAAGGAAGGUAACAACCAGCAGAGCUGAGAGCUUCUCUUUAUCUACGUCAGCUGCCAAUGACAGCUGGUGAUUACUAAACCGGCAUUAUGGCCUUGUCCUCCCCAGCAGGAAAGGGCUUGACAGCAAAACCACAGCAGAAAUAAUGUGAGCAUGUUUUCAUAUAGGCUGCCUAGAAAACAAUUUAACUUCCACUCUGCCUAGCUAUAAUCAGCAAUGCCCCACAGGCAUCAGGGUCAAAGUGCAUCUUAAGGAGUAAUUUGAAGGAGAACGGCUGCAGAGAAUUUUCCAGACCUUUGUUCCAAGCAUGGACGAUAGGAUGCAGGAAAGCAUGAAGAUAUCUGGGUGGGAAAAGGACGAACACAUGGUAAAGGCUGGCACUGCUAGCAGAGUAAAGGUCACGUUCAGCAAUGUGCUAAGUUAACAGAACUGGAAAUAAUGGGUGAAGAAAGUCCAAAAAAAAGAGCAAGGUUCUUUUUUGCUUGAAGCACGGAGAAUGUAAUGGAGGUUAGGUGCAGGUUUUCCUCUUUAGCUAUCUGGUUUGUAAACUGAUGGCAUUUUUUGCCGUCUGGAAGAAAAACCCAUGUAUCCUGGGAUUUUAUUUUGGUCUCCCUCAUAGUGUAAGCAUGCUUGAGAACUAUUAAGUUGAACAACCACUAGUUAAGCAGUUCAAGCUGGUCUCUGACAGGUUUCCCAAGCUGCUUCUAAAUGUAUUUGGCAAAUAAAUUCCUCCUCAUCUGCUAAUUUCAGACUUUUAAAAUAAUUUAGCUCUCAAGUACAUAACAUAAAGUGAUUAUCUUGUUCUUUACAGUCUGAGGGCAGAAUCUAUUUAGAACCUGAGCAGGCUGGCUACAUGCAAGUGGAAAGCUUUAGAUAAAAUUCACUUGCCAACCCAGAGCAGUGAAACCAAAUUCCCUCUCUGCUCUCACAGGCAACUGCUAUACUACCCAACUAACAGCUGCAUCCCCAUGUACAUUCAGAAGCACACCUGAAGCUGGAUCCAAAAGCUGUGAACCGACAGGGAGAAUCUUCCCGGGUUUCACUGAAUUUGCAUCGGGCCCCAUGUGCAUAAAGCAUUAAGACUACUGAGGCUCCAUCAAAGGAGUUUCCACAGCCUGUUUUAUGUCUAACCCACAGCCACCCCCAUAACAGCUGAUCCACGCAGACAGCCUGCUCUAUUCUAUACAGGAAUGUACAUUUGCAGCUUAUACACAUGCACUCAACUCCACAAAACACUACCAAAAUAGCAGAAAAGAGAGCAAUUGGCACACUGCAGAUUGCUCCCUAAAACAAUUCUGCAAGGUGUGUUGCUGCUCUCAGUACAGAGCAGAGAGUAUCAUCUCCCCAAACGGCAACGCCUUUACCAGGUUUAAAAAAGGAACGUCUGCAUUACAGCAAAAAACACCCAGACAACAGAAAAAUCACCUAAAGCUUUCCCAUGACAUUUGUUUUUCCUUGAUGGAAUCUAUACAAACGCUAUUGAAAUCAAAGUAGAAGUUCACAUAAAAAAAAAAAAACAAAACCAUCGAAUCACAGCAUGCCUACUCUGCACUAAAUAAUUUGUGUCUGCAAACAGACCCAAAUACCCCAAAAUAUUCAUCUGCACUUUAACAUUAGAUAUGUCUUUAAAGUGAUGCUGGAUACUACUGAAAACAUCCUGUACCCCAAACGAUACUAAACAGAUACAGGAAGAAUGAUUU